GGUGGCGAAGGCGGAUCUCUGGGCCGAUACUGACGCUGAGGAGCGAAAGCGUGGGGAGCGAACAGGAUUAGAUACCCUGGUAGUCCACGCCGUAAACGUUGGGAACUAGGUGUGGGUCACAUUCCACGUGGUCCGUGCCGCAGCUAACGCAUUAAGUUCCCCGCCUGGGGAGUACGGCCGCAAGGCUAAAGCUCAAAGGAAUUGACGGGGGCCCGCACAAGCGGCGGAGCAUGUGGCUUAAUUCGACGCAACGCGAAGAACCUUACCAAGGCUUGACAUACAUCGGAAACUGGCAGAGAUGUCAGCCCCCUUGUGGUCGGUGUACAGGUGGUGCAUGGCUGUCGUCAGCUCGUGUCGUGAGAUGUUGGGUUAAGUCCCGCAACGAGCGCAACCCUUGUUCUGUGUUGCCAGCGGGUUGCCGGGGACUCACAGGAGACUGCCGGGGUCAACUCGGAGGAAGGUGGGGACGACGUCAAGUCAUCAUGCCCCUUAUGUCUUGGGCUGCACACGUGCUACAAUGGCCGG
RNAcentral lists this ribosomal RNA (525 nucleotides) under uncultured Streptomyces sp. Its description in RNAcentral is "bacterial SSU rRNA". It matches the Rfam family "Bacterial small subunit ribosomal RNA", at positions 711 to 1237 of the family's 1533-position model. Lineage: Bacteria; Bacillati; Actinomycetota; Actinomycetes; Kitasatosporales; Streptomycetaceae. The record is from RNAcentral.